AGGAGGGAUAGAUAGUAAUGACUGGUUUCCUGAUUGCUCUGGACUCAUGCUAUAGGUAGGUCCCUGGCUGCCUGUGUGUGCUGUAAUCAAGGAGGCGUUUCCACCGCUUCUAUGGCUGCGGAUUUAAACCCUUUAAAUUUCUAGGGUCAGGGAUCAGAGGUUCCAGUCAGGUACUGUGGAAUACGGAGAGCUAGAACACCAAGAUGUGGGACCCUAACAUAUGUCUAGAAUUUGAAUAGUUCCCAAAGAAAAAGAGCCCAAUGCCAUCCUCUGAGGCUGAACCAAAAUGGGAGGGAGGUGUGUGGAGCUGUACUUUGGAUCUUGCUAUGGACUGCCGUAGGUUGUCUGUGGUGAGGAGCUGUAGGAUGAGAGUCUUCCUGUGGUAUGGGUCUAUAGGGAGUGAGAGGCUGUGUGCUGGGCAAGUGUAUGUAUACUGAUGGGCUGUGUGUGCUGAGGGCUUGUGUGGUGAUCGGCUGUGUACUUCUGAGGGGCUAUGUGUGGUGAGGGCUUGUGUGGUGAUCGGCUGUGUAUGUCUGAGGGGCUGGGUGUGCUGAUAGUCUGUGUACCAAAGGCUUAGGAGUAAGGAUCUGUACACUAAUUUCUGCACCUGUGUCUGAGGACGCCACCUCUGCUCCUGGCCCUGGCCCUCUUGCCCAAUGGGAAGCUCAUUCUCUGAAUGGACAAGACUCCAGAAGUUGAAAGAGACUCUGAAGUCCACCAGGAUUUCUCUGUGUAAUAGUCCUGGCUGUCCUGGAACUCGAAGAGAUCUAUGUGCUCCUGCGUCCCAAGUGCUCAAAGUGAUCAAAGGCGAGCUCCACCCUGCCAGGCUCCCUGCAGAGCACUUUCAGUACCUGAGAUGACUUUGCUUAACUUUUGCUGUGCCCCCAGAGAAGACCAGAAGCUCCAAGAGGUCCCAGUCACAACCCUGGAAGCUGAAGGCAUCCUGUGUUCUGUCAGCCUCUACCCCAGUCUUCCUCUCUCGUGGCUCUCUAGUAGCUGAAGGGGAAGUAGCCACCGUGGAGCCACCUCACACCCUUGAAGAUGCCCACCCCCUGAAAUUCUGCUCCAGCAUAAGCUGGUGAAGUAGGCCGGUAGAUGUUCUGAGCUGAAGAGCUGGUGAGAACCCCCUGUUUCAUCUCAUCUGAGAAAUACUCUGAGAAAUACUUGUCCGUAAAGGAUCCCAUAGCCCACAGCACAGCUGUCUGAAACAUCAAGAUGGUGUCACAGAAACAGGGAUACCAUAUCUGACAAUCUUGCCCUGUUAAGAGCUUCCUCUAGGGUACAGAGACACUAAAAAUUGCCCUCAGAGAGAACAGUGCUUCUCUUCCUAUUGCUGGGAAGCCAGCAAAGUAUACAGCCCUUCCAGCACGACCUCAGCAUCAAGUAAUGACCUUGCUGUGCCUGCGCUUUUGGGCUAACAAGACUGAAGGCCAACCAAACCUUUUUGAAGAAAUGACAUUUCUCCUUCCUGUUUAACUAGGGCCUUUGGAAGAGCGUGUGACUUCUUACAGCAACUCCCGGGGGUUCGCUGGGCAGCCAGUCUAGCUGAAAGAGCUCAAGGUUCAUUGAGAGGCACUGUCUCAAAGAAAUAGGCAGAGAGCAAAAAAGGAAGAUGCCCAAUGUUCGAUUCUAACCCACAGGUGUCCUGCACACAUACACAUAAGUGAACCCGCAUAUACAUAUGCGCAUGCACAGGUGUGCACAGAGUGGGGGGGGGACAAAAGAGGUCCAGAGAAAGGUCCCUGUGGUGAGCCUCUCUACUCCCCAAAUGGGGUCCCGGGUUUCAGCUAGAGCCUAUUUGUUGGGAGUCACCCUGGUGUGUACUAAGGCCCCAAGACACAGAGCAAAGCCCACCAGAUUGGGUCUAGCAGUAGAAGUCUAGUGUCCUACUAUGUAGUCCAAGCCAGCUUCAAACCUGUGACCCUCCUGCCUCAGUUUCCUCAGCGCUGGGAUUUCAGGCAUGCACCUACACCUGCUUCUACCUGUUGCUUCUUCUAUUCUUGCUCAAAUCUUUACCAGGUGCCUACUAUAAGUGUCCUGACAGGAAGAUAUUCUAAAGAGAUGCUUGUGCCCUCCCUUAGACUAUCAGAUUGAAACUGGUUCUCAGAGCGUCUUCCCAGGGGACUCAUGCUGGGAGAAAGAGAAUGCUGAAGCCUGGUGCCUGCUACAGGUGUCUUCUAGGAACAGAAUUCACACAGUUCUGACAACCUCUCAGGCUACUUGCAGGAAAGACAGCAAGACUAGAGGAGGCAGGACCACACAUACCUCCUGCAUUCUUUAAAGCUCUUGUUAGAGACACGGGUGAAGGCUAGGGGUUACUGGAUCUCUCUGUUUGACCCUCACUGAAUACAUCAUCCUCUGAUUUACUAUAAGUUGUCUACUAGGUUUGUUGAGGACAGGUAGCCAAGGCUAGCUCCAGCAGAGCCAAGUCUCUGACACUGACAACUCCAGUAAUCUACUAUAUGCUACAAAGAAGCCAGAAUGUCAGAUUCCUGCCCUCUGACCUGUCACAAUGGCCACUCUGGGGUUAGAGAGAGAAGCUUUGCUCUAAUGUGCCCUCCUUCACAAGAACUGGAUAGCUAAAAGCAGGCUGCAACCUCUAAUGGAACUCUCCGGAAGCUUGAGGGACCUUGCAGGGUAUUUAAAGAGGAAAGGGUUGCCUCUUCCUUAUAGCCACUGGCUGGUCAUGAAAUCAAUUUACUUAUUCUAAAAAAGGCGACAUGGGGCUGGAGAGAUGGCU
RNAcentral lists this small RNA (2740 nucleotides) under Rattus norvegicus (Norway rat). RNAcentral's name for it is "uncharacterized LOC108352105". The record is from RNAcentral. Lineage: Eukaryota; Metazoa; Chordata; Mammalia; Rodentia; Muridae.